UACGGAGGGUGCGAGCGUUGUCCGGAAUCACUGGGCGUAAAGGGCGCGUAGGCGGUCUGCUAAGCGUGCGGUGAAAGCCUGGGGCUCAACCCCAGGUCUGCCGUGCGAACUGGUGGACUCGAGCACUGUAGAGGCAGGCGGAAUUCCGGGUGUAGCGGUGGAAUGCGUAGAGAUCCGGAAGAACACCGGUGGCGAAGGCGGCCUGCUGGGCGAGUGGCUGGACACUGAGGCGCGACAGCGUG
Molecule: ribosomal RNA, 242 nt
Filed under: uncultured bacterium
Lineage: Bacteria
Description: partial 16S ribosomal RNA
Rfam family: Bacterial small subunit ribosomal RNA
Source: RNAcentral